Xiphias gladius (swordfish) is the source of this 663-nucleotide long non-coding RNA. RefSeq lists it as uncharacterized. The transcript has 5 exons. NCBI's taxonomy places the organism in Eukaryota, Metazoa, Chordata, Actinopteri, Istiophoriformes, Xiphiidae. The record is from RefSeq and is a predicted model, not a curated record.
UUAUCUGAAAUGGUUUCUACUAUUCAAAUGGAAAGGACUCGUUCCUGGAGUAGAAACUAAGUGCAACACACCUCCCGUCUCAGAGGGCUGUGCCAGAGUCUGAAUUUUCGACUUCAGGUCAUCAGUUAAGGCCAAAUACUGUUUUCCUAAUGGCGAUGGAUUAUGCAAAAAUUGCUGAGCCGCUUUGCAUCGAACUUGGUGGAGGGAUGAGGCCUGGGCCAGGCUGCUCAUCACGUUGGAGCUAAAGUCAACAAUGUUCUGGAUCUGCCUGAAGGCCUGCUCUGCUGUCUGGAUGACAGAAGGACAGAAACACAGCCAGACAGCUGACUGAUGAGGAGGGGGUUCUUUCCCUCGUUUUGAAGAAAAACUGCUCCUUUUGGAUUAGUCAUGGAUCAUCGGCCUGGCAGACAUCAUUAGGGUGACUGACAGCUCUUGAUUUGACUCAGACAUCGACACUAACUCUGGCAUCAAACGGGGCCGUUGACAGAUGGGUUACCGACUACCAAACCAGUUACACACCACCAGCUGUGUGUGGCUACAGGUGCAGCAUAGAAACACCCCGUGAAGCACCCUGCGACUGUUUUAAUUCAAAAUGUUUUAUUUGAUUCAGUAACAUGUUGUUAUUUUAUUAAAUAAAAAGUUGGAGACUUCAUAAAGAAAUAU